Molecule: ribosomal RNA, 256 nt
Filed under: uncultured bacterium
Lineage: Bacteria
Description: partial 16S ribosomal RNA
Rfam family: Bacterial small subunit ribosomal RNA
Source: RNAcentral
UACGUAGGGGGGCAAGCGUUGUCCGGAUUUAUUGGGCGUAAAGAGCGUGUAGGCGGUUUGGUAGGUCCGCUGUGAAAACUCGAGGCUCAACCUCGAGACGCCGGUGGAAACCAUCAGACUAGAGUCCGGAAGAGGAGAGUGGAAUUCCUGGUGUAGCGGUGAAAUGCGCAGAUAUCAGGGAAGAACACCCGUGGCUAAGGCGGCUCUCUAGUACGGUACUGGACGCUGAGACGCGAAAGCGUGGGGAGCGAACAGG